Molecule: transfer RNA, 73 nt
Filed under: Ailuropoda melanoleuca (giant panda)
Lineage: Eukaryota; Metazoa; Chordata; Mammalia; Carnivora; Ursidae
Rfam family: tRNA
About the family: Transfer RNA (tRNA) molecules are approximately 80 nucleotides in length. Their secondary structure includes four short double-helical elements and three loops (D, anti-codon, and T loops).
Source: Rfam by way of RNAcentral
ACCUGGCAGGCUCAUUCAAUAGAGCACGUGACUCUUGAUCACGGGGUCAUGAGUUCAAGCCCCAUGUUGGGUG